Molecule: non-coding RNA, 73 nt
Organism: Schistocephalus solidus
Lineage: Eukaryota; Metazoa; Platyhelminthes; Cestoda; Diphyllobothriidea; Diphyllobothriidae
Source: Rfam
GAGCCCGUGGCUCAAUGGUANAGCGUUCGACUCAAAUACCAAAGGUCGCGGGUUCGAAUCCCAGUCGAUAUCU